This 548-nucleotide ribosomal RNA is filed under the name uncultured bacterium. RNAcentral's name for it is "partial 16S ribosomal RNA". It matches the Rfam family "Bacterial small subunit ribosomal RNA", at positions 355 to 895 of the family's 1533-position model. The record is from RNAcentral.
UGGGGAAUUUUGGACAAUGGGCGAAAGCCUGAUCCAGCAAUGCCGCGUGUGUGAAGAAGGCCUUCGGGUUGUAAAGCACUUUUGUCCGGAAAGAAAUCCUUGGCUCUAAUACAGUCGGGGGAUGACGGUACCGGAAGAAUAAGCACCGGCUAACUACGUGCCAGCAGCCGCGGUAAUACGUAGGGUGCAAGCGUUAAUCGGAAUUACUGGGCGUAAAGCGUGCGCAGGCGGUUUGCUAAGACCGAUGUGAAAUCCCCGGGCUCAACCUGGGAACUGCAUUGGGUGACUGGCAGGCUAGAGUAUGGCAGAGGGGGGUAGAAUUCCACGUGUAGCAGUGAAAUGCGUAGAGAUGCGGAGGAAUACCGAUGGCGAAGGCAGCCCCCUGGGCCAAUACUGACGCUCAUGCACGAAAGCGUGGGGAGCAAACAGGAUUAGAUACCCUGGUAGUCCACGCCCUAAACGAUGUCAACUAGUUGUUGGGGAUUCAUUUCCUUAGUAACGUAGCUAACGCGUGAAGUUGACCGCCUGGGGAGUACGGUCGCAAGAUU